Molecule: transfer RNA, 82 nt
Filed under: Orotrechus messai
Lineage: Eukaryota; Metazoa; Arthropoda; Insecta; Coleoptera; Carabidae
Description: transfer RNA-Leu
Source: RNAcentral
UAUUAAUUAAUAAAAUUAUUUUGGCAGAUUAGUGCAAUGAGUUUAGAAUUCAUAAAAAUAAAUUUAUAUUUAUAAGUAAUAC